RNAcentral lists this ribosomal RNA (245 nucleotides) under uncultured bacterium. RNAcentral's name for it is "partial 16S ribosomal RNA". It matches the Rfam family "Bacterial small subunit ribosomal RNA", at positions 524 to 775 of the family's 1533-position model. The record is from RNAcentral.
GACGAACCGUGCGAACGUUGUUCGGAUUCACUGGGCUUAAAGGGCGCGUAGGCGGGCACGCCAGUCAGGGGUGAAAUCCUCCGGCUCAACCGGAGAAGGGCCUUUGAUACUGCGUGCCUCGAGGGGUAGGGGCGUGUGGAACUUCGGGUGGAGCGGUGAAAUGCGUAGAGAUCCGAAGGAACGCCGGUGGCGAAGCGACGCGCUGGACCACCUGACGCUGACGGCGCGAAGCCAGGAGCGAACGG